UUUUAAUGAUGAGUCUAACUAGCUCACUUUGAUUUCAUAUGAAGCCGUGAAAACAUUGGAACAGCUGAGAAAC
Varanus komodoensis (Komodo dragon) is the source of this 73-nucleotide small nucleolar RNA. The record is from Ensembl. NCBI's taxonomy places the organism in Eukaryota, Metazoa, Chordata, Lepidosauria, Squamata, Varanidae.